Molecule: non-coding RNA, 24 nt
Filed under: Arabidopsis thaliana (thale cress)
Lineage: Eukaryota; Viridiplantae; Streptophyta; Magnoliopsida; Brassicales; Brassicaceae
Source: RNAcentral
GCGGAAGCGUCGUUCGGACCGCCU